Molecule: ribosomal RNA, 253 nt
Filed under: uncultured bacterium
Lineage: Bacteria
Description: partial 16S ribosomal RNA
Rfam family: Bacterial small subunit ribosomal RNA
Source: RNAcentral
UACGGAGGGUGCAAACGUUGCUCGGAAUCAUUGGGCGUAAAGCGCACGUAGGCGGACCGCUAAGUCGGAUGUGAAAGCCCUCGGCUUAACCGAGGAAGUGCAUUCGAAACUGACGGUCUUGAGUAUGGAAGAGGGUCGCGGAAUUCCCGGUGUAGAGGUGAAAUUCGUAGAUAUCGGGAGGAACACCAGUGGCGAAGGCGGCGACCUGGGCCAAUACUGACGCUCAUGCACGAAAGCGUGGGGAGCAAACAGG